UUAGUCUGGGGAAUUCAAAUCGUUAUGUUUAUGUGCAGUCAGAUACCUGAGUGCACCAGAUUUAAUUCAAAUUUAACGUGCAAACGGCUUAUUACAAGUACGUAACCACUGGCACUUCUGGAAGAAUGUAAUUGUAUUUGUUUUUGAAGUUAACUUAACAUCUUCAGUGGUAGCAACCAAGUAUGAAAAGGUUUUGCCUUCGGGGGGGGGGGGAAGUCUUCAUUCCUUUUGCUCCUUCAUGCUUUAGUAAGUCCAUUUGAGUGGGCAAAGAUAACGAGCAUUGGGCAACCAAAUCAAGAGUAUAUUCUCGUUUUAAUGUACUUUUAAUUUCAAGAUUGUAAAGAAAGGAACCCAAUUACACAAUUGGCAAAUGUUCAGGCUGGAUUUCCCGCUUUUAAUUAUUUGCAUUGUGAGUUUGCUUACUUGGAUUGGAAACUCUACCAAGAACUAAUCGUGCAGUUUACAUGAUUUCUCCACUACAAAUCUACUUGGAAGUAACUUGUAACUUGUACAUUGCCCAGCCCCCCCCCCCAUAUUGCCACACUUUGUAAUAUGGCACACACUUGGCACACUCCUUGCAAGCAGUGCUUUUGGUAAUCAGUUGUCAGGUGGGAGGCCAUACUGGUGACUGGUUUCUGGGCUGCUGGUCAUGUGCCCUGACUUCUCCAAAGUCACUUCUGUUAUAAAUGCCGGUGGCAGAACUGAAGUAAGAUGCUACGUUAGCAGCCUUGCCUUUUGUCAGUAAAAAAAACUUAAUAAGCCGACUAUGGUGGCAUGAGCUGACGUUUUUGUUGAGAAUACCAUUUUUGUAGCAGUAUUGAAACAGAGUUUUAAUAACAGGCUGCAAAUUCAAUAAGUGGGGCUUUAUAAAAAUCUUCCUUGAGACUUGUAUACAAGAUGUAAGAUCUGUUGUGGCACAGGUCUUAAUCACUUUUAAUAUGCAUUCCACAUGAACAUUUGCCAAGAAGUGGACAGUAUUGAGUUGAUGUGUCUUUGCUCAACUCAAGAAAUAAUGGAAAUGGGGGAAGAAACUUUUCUUACUCUUCCCAUUCAAUGUUUUGUUAUUUAGGUCAUUUCAAGAUAACCAUUGAGUGGCCCAACAGAUGCGUAUUGGAAAGUAUUUGGUUUAAAUAACAGAUUUAGAAAAUGUUAUGUCAGAUGGAGCAAAUGAAUUGAGAUUGUCUCCACUGGACAAAAUUUCAUCCAGGGAAAUUGCAAUGUUUCCGAGAUGUCUCACCAGUGGACAUAGGAAAGUUGUGGGGUUUUUCCUUAGUGCUUGAGUACCUACUCGGCAUCGCACUUAAUUGGAAGAAAAACUAGAUUGGAUGGUCUAUGUUUGAUUCAAGAAGGACUUGAAGGAGGUGCCCGAUCCUUGGAAUGACCCAACUUCAGGGUGUCAUGCCACUCCAGGCGCUGCCUUGAUGUGGUGUGACGGAGAAGGCAUAACCCCACACUGCGGUAUGGGUGCUCUCUCAAGCAUAAAGGGUGCUAACGUGAAGCAGACUACAUGAAGUUAACCUGCAUCGGUCUCGGCCAUUUUGUUUGACCAUCUCUUUGGCACAGUAUUAGGAGGCCAAUACACCCUCCAAGACACAUCGGCCUCAAGUACUCCUUUAAAAAAGUAGUGACUGUAUACAUGUAUAAUUAUGUACCCAUAUGUAUUACAUAGUUGUUACUUUACAGAAAAGGGGUGAUUAUAAGUACAGAUGUGUUUCACAAGAAUAAACACGUGCACAAUGUAAAAACAGGAACGAUACCCCUUUCCGUUCUAGUACAUUUAAAAAAAACCAAUGAACUAGUGCAGACCACAAAGUCCUUGCCAUCGAGGAUGACCUGAAAGUGUAACUGAUAGAGCAACUUAAUUGCACAGUUUGGAAGUGAAUGAAGUAAAACCGUUAUGAACUGUACAACUUAAUACCAGUCCGUAUUUUCCAUCUCAUUGUCUGAUCCUGCACCCCCCUCAGCAGUGUGGUGUGCUACAUCGUCAGCUUGGUGGUGUGGGGCAUGUGGUCGGUAUGGAUACGGCUCAACACCAUGCUCCAUCAUGGCCACACUGGCCCAUCACCUUUGAUGCAAUUUUAGGCUACAUUGUCAGACGACAUGUAGUAUUCGCAUCACUCUCACUGUAAGAAUUAAAAAUCUCAUAUUCUGCACUUAAAGUAUGUAUUUCAAACAAUGUACAUGUAGUUUUGAGCUUUUGUCCCUUGAUAUUUUGUGUAUGGAAAGCCUGAUGACAAAAAGUCUGAUUAUGACUCAGGUGGCCAACAAACACUACCUUGUACAUGUACGUGUAUCAUUGGAUAGCUAGCGCAUACAGUGAAACCCCAUCCCUGAAUGGCAUCAGUUCACAUAUACCGGUAUGCACACAGAAAGUUGCCCUCAUUUAUUUCAAUUAGACCUUAAUUGACAAUUUUAAAGUUUAAAAAUGAAUACUUAAGUCAUUCUGGUAGAUCACAAUCUGGUACUCAAAUUUUCUUGUCAGUGGUGACUUGUAUUACUGUAUGAGGUUUGUACAUACAUGGACAUGUACACUGGUAUGUCAGCUCUGACCUACGUACGUUUUGAGUUCAUAGUCACAUUGUUAGUCUUUUGUCCUCAAAAUUGUCCAAGGUUCACUGUAGCUGCCUUAUGCCUUAGAAGACUGCUCCCAAAUUUUCUUUCAUCACUUGGCUCACUGGAGCCCGAUCUUUAAACAACAGUGGUUCACACUCUUGGCCCAUCUUUUACCCAUUUUUUAUUUCAGUGACUUGACUCUGGAGUUUAUUUUUUUUUUUAGCUACAACUGAUCAAAGGCGUAACACAACACAAUUCAGACCAAAAAAAAAAAGAUCUAUGUGUAUUUCUUGGAAAAUGCUUGGAACACAUGGGCAUUGACUACUUCUCUACAGUGCCACAUGGCAGUCCAUACAUUCAGUGCCCCUCUGUCUUGACACGGAAGUAGUCAAUACAAACGUAUUUGUGGCAGCCGUUGCAAACUCUUGGGGUCCUCCUCCUCUAUACCGGUAGACGCAGUCUGCAUCCUCCGGUCUGCACCGGGGCUGCAGGCGCUCACACGGCCACCUCCUUACCCACUUAAAGGAAGGCAUCAAUGGUAUGUUGCCUGGAGCAUUUCUGGGUGUGGCCGUCAGAUGUCUAUCUGUGGCAUUGUAAGAGACGCGGUAAGUUCCUCAGGGAAAUCACGUCAUGUCGUUCUGCUGCGAGGAUUCAACUGCUUAUAGGUGCAUUUGUUAUUAGUUUUAUCCAGGGCGAUCUCGUCUCUUUCAUAAUGCAUCUUUGUGUCAAUGUCUUCUUUGGUGUCACAUUGAGGCAGAGCAGAACUCUUUUUAAUUUUUAGGAAGGUGUUAAUGUAUUCGGUGAAAGGACCACCAAAUUUGGUGAAAGGAGCAUAUUGUUUUCUUUGCUGAAAGUACCAUGUGGUACGCCCAAACACAAAGACCCGGCUCGCUUGGUUUCAUUUGGAUCUCGUCAUCAGCAGCCAGUAACCAUCUGUACAAGUGUUUCUUUAUGACAUUGACGUCGUACUUACUGGAGUUGAAUCCGAUGGCGGGCAUUUUGCGCAGGUAGUCGUUCAACUCCUGACGCAGGUUUUCCAUGUAGCCUAUCUGGGAAGGGACUUGUCGUCUAGGUAGUGGUCAUCUUCCAGUUAGUGGAUGCGGAUGAAUGCACCCUCAAACAGGUACAACCUGCGUUCGUAGGCCUCUUCACCGAUCUUGUACAUGUAGACCAGCAUGUUCUUCACAAGUUCAGCCGGGUUGCCAUCCAUCACGAAGCAUUUCAUGUCCUCGAAACCAGGAACAUUGCUGGCUACACUGACGCUGAUCAGUUCGUGGCGGUCACACCAGGUUAGCUUUCCGUCGUGGUCUGCGUCUCCAGGCAACUGCUCAAAAUAACACUUUUCAAUGUCAAUACCCAUUUCAGCCAGUUUGUCAAAGACUGACUUGCACAGGGCGUAAACACCACCCAGAAACUUGUGCCUUACAUUGGCAUCGCACUUGGGCUCCUGGCAUUGGAGGUUGAAGGUUUUAGUAAACAUUAUCCUACAUUUCUGACACUCGAACACCCGGCUAUACGCGUUCAUAUCGGCAAUGUACGAGAAGUGGUUACCAUACAGGUUUACGCGUAGCGUGGUCGAGUACUUCUGAAAUGAACGGUGCGCUUUAACAUCGCCUUAGGACUUUGGUUCACGCGUGGCACCGAAGUCGGUGUCGAGAGGCUGUACACCUGGAUUUUUACCUCGAGCAGGUCUUCCGCCAUGGCCAGAUUGUCCAACGUCAUACCUUUGGGGAGUUGGCUCAAAGUGCGCCGUGGUGAUGUGACUUCUCACUGAAUUAGUACGGGUGAAUGCCUUUCCACACACAGGACAUCGGUGCUCUUUUCUGCCGUCCCUGGUGGAAGGGAGAGCUCAAAGUGCAGGAGCAUGCCAGUGGCUGCAGCCGGGCUGGUCUUCAUCCACGAUGGCGACGGAAAGGGGAUGUUGGAUCGGGUCAGCUGUUGCCAUAUUCUUGGGCUCGGGUUUGGCACUAUGGUGAUGCUGACACAGAUGGUGCCACAUGUUAUCCCGUCGCUUGAAUGUUGCAUCGCACACGUGACAGGAAAAUCCCUUUGUAGUGUCGUGCAGGUUGGCGUGAUGCCGCAUAGAAUUUCGUCGGGUAAACUUCUUUUCGCACUCCGGACAUUGGUAGACACUGCCCGGUCUCUCGGCAUUUUUCCCUUGGAGCUGGGGGGAGGAACUGCUAUUUUUCUGAAACCUCUUAGGUUCUGUUUGAGUGAAAAUACAAAUUAAAGGGAGUUAACCCGGUAUAUCCCAGACCAUACAGAAGUUGAGAAAAAAUUGAGUACACAUUUUUUUACAACCUUUUUGGAUUAAAAUUAAAAUAAAACGAACAUAAUUUUUUUUAAUUACUGUUUUUUUAAAUCAACAUAUGUAGCAUAUAUGCUACAGAAGUUAAUAAUGACUUGAAUUUAAAUAUUAUACACAUGAAGAUAUGCUUCAAAAACACAUAGUGUCCUCAACAGUGACACAACUUUGUCAUACAUGUAACAUUUGGGAUGGGUAAAGGUAGGGGUUCCAUUAUGUGAGUACUGUAGUUCUUUUGAUUUUACAUAAAGUAUGUAACGCACUGCACUGCUUUGGUUUUUUUGGGACAAGCCAUCUUUCCUGACUACUUCAAACCAGACUGAUGUCCUUUUGGAAUGAUGUCCCAUUUUUUGAAGGGUGGGGGAGAGGGGGGUAUUUCAACAUGUUGCACAAUAUCAAUGGAAAACAAUGACAUCAUCAUGACAUCGUGACAUCAACCCUAAAAAUAGAUUGAUUGAUAAAUAAAAAAACCUGUUUCUGUCGUAAUGAUACCAAUGCUUCAUUUACAAGUCUUGGAAUGGAUGUUUAUUGAAUUCACUGCCUUUAUCUGUGUGAAUCAUCACAGGAAGUUGCUUGCCAUCCAGGCCUGCAUUAUUCAAGAAUAAUAUCAGGACUGAUAAGAACAAUAUUUAUAAAGUGUUUACACCAAACAUCAAAGCACUGUACAUGAAAAAAAACUAGGAAUUACGUAGGUAGGUUUUAUUCAGCUGUUCAUUGAAGUGGUGAUAGAUGGGGCUGCCCUGUUUUGGGUUGGACUAAAAUGCCUAUUCACACACACUGCCUGUAAACUAAAUCUUGAUUCACCUCACGUUUGGUUAUAUACACUAACCCUCUCAAAGUGGCAUUCUGCCAAAAAAACGUGUUCUGUUUUCCGUACCAUAUGCAAGUUAAUUGAGGGUGAUCUUUUAACAUGUUUAACUUCUGCUGGGAAACCAUGACUAGUUACUCUGCAUUGAGAUGGCACAUUGUUAAAGAACCCGCAUGCCACUUUGAGCCCGGCUGGCACUUCUGGGGCUGAAAGGGUUAUUUCACUGCUGGUGUUUAAUUAAAGUUGUCUUUCAUCUCUCCACCUUUCAUUAGAUGUGUUGAAUUCCUGCUUUCCCAAUCUGUUGGACCAAGUUCCUUUACAUUUCUCGUACUCGUGUAUCAUUCUGCUAUUCUUCCUCCUCCCUGAAGUCUUUUAGAACCUACAUUGGUCUUUUUCUGCUCCCUGACAUCGAAGCCAUACAACUCACUUUGGCCUGGACUUCAUCCCUAGGGAAGGUCAUCUCUACGUGUACUCAACUACAUGUACGUGGUGGUGCCCAUCAACACUGGCUGUCACACCCUUACUACAUGCCCACACCACCAGCCCUUGACUGCCAUCACAGGGCAAAGCCUGAAUACUGACUACACAUUCACCAUCAAAACUGCUAGCCGUCAGGUCAUUCUUACAGUGGUAGAGGUGGACUUUGAAGAUUGAGAGAGCGGGGUAGUUGCCAGUAUCGAACAGGCUAGCUGCCAGGGACAUCACGCCACCGUCGCUCGGUGUCAAACAGCACUUUCUGUUGGUGUGGGAACAACUGCAGGCUCCUUCUUGGCCAUUACGACUACGGCGUCAGCGUUGACCAACCCACUCGACAUCACAUCCCAUGAAACCUUUGCGGUAUCAGUUACUGCCCUGGUUGAUGGACAGGAGGGUCUUCCAAUGGUCUCAACACUGAGAACUUGACCAGAUGGUACAGGACAUCACCAUCUUCCAGACCUGCCUUAGGACAGCUUUCACCACCUAGCACCCAUCCACAUUGCCUCCGGCCAUCCUGGUGUUCCGUAUCCUCAACACCCACCGCCAUAUGUAAGACAUCGUCAGGUGGAAGCUGAACACAUGCAGAGGAGCAGAUCUGCAGUCGGGAGUAGGAGCAAGCCCUCGCCUCCUUCGACAAAGACAAGUAAAGCAAGGGGGAGCCUACUGGGCCGAGGAGAGAUGAGGAUAGCUGAGGAGGAACAGUUUCCAAGAUAUCAUGAGAGGUGUUCGUCAGCAGCUGCUGAUAGAGGCAAGGAAAGGACUCGGUCUUCCCAGCAAUUCGGUUCCUCGCUUGCGCCGUAGUGACAGAGCAAAAGUCUGCAUACACUGGCAUACACACACUGCAGAGGACUACAAAAUACAGACACCCAGAAAAACUUAUGAAUCACAUUCCUUCUAGGGCAAACAUACAGUGGUUUUGAAGACGGAACACUGGCAUUUGAGCAAAAUAACAGGGAUGACACAGAAGCAUGGAAAGUAAGAAAAACUGCUGAUCUGCAUGAAAUUGAGGGGGUUGAACUACAUUGUAUAUACGUCCCAAGAAUGGAGCUUUGGGCAGAACAUUGGGUAUGACUGAAAAGGUAGCUUUGUAAAUGAAAUACAGUUUUUCUGUUUGCUUUUUAAGGAAUUACUACUCUCCUUUAUGUGUCCGUGUACUUUUUGAUACAUUGACUGUCAUGAGCAUACAUGUAUUUCGUGCAUUGAACAGCAUUCAUGUGUUGAGCAUGCCUGAGUUAUCAACAAGGCAUAAAUGCAACCGUAUUUGUGACCUCAUCCUUGCAUGGGUCUUGCGCACCUAACUGAGCUGCAAGUCAGUCACUUGGGGAACUAUCCCACAAUACACUGCAAAAACAAUACAGCUUCUUUUUUAACGACAGAGUUGAUACGACUGGAAAUACAAUGAAGAAUCACUGCAUGUAGAGGCAGAAUGGUUUAAGUUGUGCAACAUGGAGGCCAGAAAAUAUUCACCAUUUGGAAAGACUGUACACUGCAGAAAUCUAGUUUUGUGCUAAGCUGUGAUCAGCUUGCAUGAAAAAGUAAUGCAAUGGAGCAACAUGGUUUUUUUUUAUGACCAGUCAGUUUUGUUUGUAAACAACCCCCUGGGGAAGCCUAAAGCUCUUUUAAUCCCUCUAAAUGGUUAAUUUGAGUUCCAGGAAACACUUGCAUGACAUUUUUAUGUUAUCUUUGAUUUUAAAUGUCCUUUUAUGUCCCUUUUUCUAUAAUGGGUUCAUUAAGAACUGGGUUUUUUCAUUUUAGUGUAAGAAAAUAGCCAAAUUUCUUUUCCAACUGUGGCAAGAGAACAGAAUAACAAAGACAGGAAAUGAGUGCAUUGGUAUUGUAUUGUUCAAACACACUCAAACAAAUCAUCAAACUAAAAGAAAACAAUUUAGAAACAAAUGCAAUAAAUGUGAAGUAAAUUUAUAACAAGCACAAAAGGGAAAAAAAGAAAACACCAAUAAAAUCAAGUUAAUCACGCAUAAAGAACACAAUUGGGGAAUAAAGACAACAAUCAUUUUGUUAAUUUGGAAAUCUGAAAAAGCUAACUGCAAAUGAGAAAAAUCAAAGGCAUAAAACACUGUCAUUGCUUUCGUGAUUUGAAAAAAUACAAACUAAAAAAAAAGCCAUCAGGAAAGUAAAAAAAAGAAAGUGAAUUAGU
RNAcentral lists this long non-coding RNA (8298 nucleotides) under Acanthaster planci (crown-of-thorns starfish). RNAcentral's name for it is "uncharacterized LOC110979706". Lineage: Eukaryota; Metazoa; Echinodermata; Asteroidea; Valvatida; Acanthasteridae. The record is from RNAcentral.